CGCGCCUCUGUCCUCUAGCAAGCAUUGUCGAUGUUCACCCUCCCAUUGCAAAGAAAGCGAUAGAGAUGUUCACUCUCCAAUUUGCCAUUUCCUUUUGAGUGAGAGCGAGAGGAAUGAAAUCGAGUUUUGAGUGAGGGAGAGAGGAAUGAAAUCAAGUUGCACAGAGCUUUUGAUCAGGUCGUAAAAAGCGGCUAGAUCAUGAAAACUACCUGUUCCUUUUUUAGAAUAUUCACAGAAUCCAUUUAAGAGGCCUAUUUCAUCUUCAUCUGUCAAAAGUCGCUGAAAAAACUGUUAAGAAUCAUCGAAGAGCUUCGUCUCUGGCUCACUGUCAUGGCCAUCAACAAGGGUUUUAGAGGUUUUUUGGCGUUCUUCGUCGUCCUUGAUGGGGGUUAUGAAUUUCUCAUAGCCAAUUGUGGCACAAAUUGAGGGGAAAGAGGGCGAGGGGAAUCAGAAGAAGAGGAGAGGGAAUAAUUUUUCUGAUUUCAUUGAUAGAAAAACCGCCCGGUUCUCUCUAAGUCUUAUAUAACUUUACAUAUAAUUCAGGGGAACAAAUUUAAUUAUAUUUUGUUAUUAGCGAUGGUUUACAUACUUGAUGGAGGUGGCCACUAAAAUGGAGGAUUGAUGGAAUUUUCAUAUGUAUUUACGUUCAUCUUAGAUUAAGAAAGUUGGGUUGUGAUCAGGCAUAAGUUUUGACUUUUGAAAAUUUGGGUGGAGAUUCAACUAUCAAGGUUGAGAUCAAGAAUUGGGUCUUUUAUUAAUUGUGAGCCUCUAUUAUGGGAUCUUCACAAUUUGUUUUGUUGCUGGUUUGGGCUUUAUAUUUUUGGGGUUAUGGUGAAUGCCUAAGGCCACCAUCUGUGACAAUUGGGGCUGUUUUUACUUUGAACUCCACCAUUGGAAGAGUUGCAAAGGUUGCAGUUGAGACAGCAGUUGAUGACAUCAAUGCAAAUAGCAAAAUUCUUGGAGGAACCAAACUGAAACUUUUCAUAGAGGACUCUAACUGCAAUGGUUUCCUAGGAACAGUCAAUGGAUCCGUUGAAAAAUUUAGAUGGAUCACACCGUUUCAGGUUGUGUGUCAUCUCCCACCUGCGCAAUUGUAGACAACAUAGGUGACACCAAUGAGCUCAUGGAGCAGGUUCCUUAUCUUGCAACCCAUCCUAGAAAAUUCACAGAAAUGCAGGAUGGAGAACUUGACUCCUCAACCAAAGUCUUAGAAACAAAUGUACCCCAUGUAGAAAUGAAGUUUUCUUCAGAGGAAGAUGCAAUGGAUUACUAUAAGGCUUAUGCAUUAGCCAAAGGUUUUGGUAUCCGUAAGGGCACUACCCAUAAUAAAAAAGGUGAAAGGAUUCAUAGGGAAAUUAUUUGCUCUAAGGAAGGAUUUCGCAAAGUAAAAGAUCAUGUAAGUGAAAAGGAACUUCCUAAAUCAAGGUGUGGGUGUAAGACUAAGCUGGGAAUCACUAGAAAUGCGGACAAUGAAUGGGUUGUGACUAGGUUUAUUGAUGAUCACAAUCACGAUCUAGUCAGUCCAAGAAAAGCUAGUCUAAUUUGCUGCCACCGAACAUUGUCUAGUGGUACAAAGUUGCUGCUAAAUUCAAUGAGUUCGACAAUGGUUAAGCCAAGACAUAUUCAUGACAUUUUCAUUGAGAAAGUUGGAGGGAUUGAGAAUGUCACAUGUACACAAAAGGACAUCGAAAAUGAAAUUACUAGUACUAAAAGAAAACUAAGAGGAGAAGAUGGUAGUCUAAUUAUGCAAUGGCUCUAUAAAAUGAAAGAAUCAAAUCCAUCUUUUUUCUAUAGAUUGAAAUUAGAGGAAGACGAUCACAUUCUCAGCAUCUUCUUGGUAGAUGCGAAUGUAAAGUUUUUGAUCAAUGCUUCUCUGAUGUGAUUACAUUUGAUACCACAUACAAAACAAACUCUUUUAGUAUGUCCUUUGCACCCAUACUUGGUGUAAAUCGCAAUUUCAAUACAACAUUCUUUGGCUUUGUACUCAUAUGUGAUGAGAAGGUAGAAUCAUUUGUUUGGGUAUUUGAAAAUUGGUUAGAAGCAAUAGGUGGACAACAAUUGGGUGUUAUUCUCACCGAUCAAGACCAUGCAAUUACAGCCGCAGUGAGACAAGUUUUUUACCAGAGUGAGCAUCGUUACUGUAAGUAGCAUAUAUAUGUCACGUCUUGCUCAUGCAUUCUUCUUUUUCAGAUACCUUCAGGGGUUGUAUAACUAGCCCAACAAUAGAAGAAUUUGAAUUGGGAAGGAAAUUAAUGAUUGAGAACUAUGAGUUGGAAAGCAAUGAAUGGCUAAAUAGACUUUAUGGUUGUUGCAUGUAAUGGGUGGAUGCAUACUUGACUGGCAAGUCACAACGGGUAUGACUUCUACCCAAAGAAGUGAAUGGAUGAAUAAGCAUUUCAAGAUGUACUUGACAUCCAAAACAAGCCUACGCACAUUAUUGGAAAUAUGUGUCAAGGUGCAAGAUAAGAAGGUAUGAAAAGAAAAGAAAAACAACUUAAAAGACAUUACAACUACUCCAAUCUUAAGAACAACUUCUUUAUUUGAGUCACAGGCAUCAAAAAUCUAUACUCAAAAGAUUUUGAAGAUAUUUGUGGAAGAGGUUGCCAAUUGUAUGAAUUUUAUGAGUGAGUGAGUUGAUGAAAAUGGACAGCUUGCCACUUUUAAGGUGGCAGAUAUGCGAACCAAAUCUAGAUCAUACUUGGUGGAAUUCAAUCCCCAUGAGAAGAGGGCUUCUUGCAAUUGUCACUUAUAUGAGAGGAUGGGCCUUCUUUGCAGGAGAGGAUGGGCCUUCUUUGCAGGUACGUGUUGAAGAUUUUUAUGAUGAAAAAUAUUUUUGAAAUCCCUUAUACUUAAUGAGGCGUUGGUCAAAGGACAUAAAGAGGGGGUGUUUUAUUGAUGAAAGUGGCAAACAAUUUCAUGAUCCAUCUGCACUACCACGCUCCAUUCGAUAUAACAAUGUCUUGCAGGCUGUUUGAUACAUCGCUGAGCGUGCGUCAGAAAGUGUGGAGGUUCAUGAUUUUGUAUUAUCUUUAAUACACAAUGAUAUCAUAGAGAUUGAUGGUAAAUUCGUUUGUAAGCGAGGUUCACAGGUUGAUACCAUGACCCAUGUCAAUGAUGAGAGGAGAGCUUCUAGAUCUACUGACACACCAAAUGGAAGUUACAACUGCCAAAAUGUCCUUGAUCCUCUACGAGCACGGGCAAAUGGACGAUCAACAAAUGCAAGAAAAAAAGCUUGAUUAGAGGAAUGGAAGCCAAUGGAAAAGUCUAGAAAAUGUGUAGUUUGCCAGAGCACUGAACAUGACAGAAGAAAUUGUCCACCAUUCAUUCGUGAAAAGGUUAUUUCGAAGUCCGCAAUAAGAUUUUGUCUCAUAAGAGCGUGGGACAUGAGCAUUGAGGGGUCAAUAGUGGAUCUUCAUAACCGCAUGAGAUCAGGCAAAACUUUUAACAAUUAAGAUCUUGAUUGCUGAAAAAGGACUAUUCAGGCAAUGAGUGAUUUAUGUAUUCAUGCAUGCGUUUGCAUGGAGGUUGUUGAGAAGGGGACAAUAAUGUAGUUUUUAGCGCAAGGAAGAUGAAUUGGUCGAUAUGAAGGCUCAAAUGUUCGAUGAUACGACUAUUUGGGCUCCUUUUCUUGGAGUUGUUAGCUGAGAAAGUAUGGAGCCAGUGAACAUGGUUGGACUUGGUAUAUCAGUUCACUUUUUAGUACUGUUUUUUCUCUUUCUUCUUCUUUUUUCUUUUUCUUGGUAAUGGAGGGGUGAUUGCAGGGGCUGGUCAUUUAUUGUUUGUACUAAAUACAUAAUUAUGAAGCACUUAUACAGAAAGCCUUUUUGUUGUGUCAAACGCCUCCCCUGCCUAUGCCUUUCUCUUUGGCGCACAAAAGCAUACAAAAACAAAGGACAAGUCGAGCUUUUACUCAGUUGCUUGUAAGUGUUCAAGAUGGAGGAAUGGAAUUCAUUUGUUGGGCACA
Amborella trichopoda is the source of this 3964-nucleotide non-coding RNA. NCBI's taxonomy places the organism in Eukaryota, Viridiplantae, Streptophyta, Magnoliopsida, Amborellales, Amborellaceae. The record is from RefSeq and is a predicted model, not a curated record.